CAGGCUAAAAUCUAUUUAUUUCUUUGCAUAAAUAGUUGUAUUGUCUUCAGUAAGGAUUAUCACAGAUCCAGCUGCUAUUAGAUCAUUUUAUUCAGGCUAUACACAUUCCAGAAUCCCUUGUAGUUGUUAUGAAAUUUAGCCAUAAACUGUUGUUGAUAUAUAAAAAUCUUGCAUCUCUUUAAAAAUUUUGUCUGGCAAGCUUGCUUUACAUCCCAGCCCUCUAAGUUCAUUUAUAUUAAUUGUCUCAAGAUUAAGUUAGUCAUAAACACAUUUAUAAUGUGAUUUUGCUUCCUCUCUCAGAGGACAAUGGGCUAAAUUCAAUGGGGACCUAAAGGAAGAUGCUUGAUGCAAACCAAGGAGGGAAUUUCUUUAAUUAGAUAGAAGUGCUCAUGGGUUUCUUGCAUUUUGCUUCACACACACACACACCCCCAAAUAAAUAAAUUAAUAAAUAAAUUAAAAUUAAAAAUAAAAAUAAAAAUAAAAAGUUACUUUUCUAAUCCUUAAAAUUAGGGAUGAAAAAGAAAAAGUUGAGAAGCAGAAUAAAAAAGCAGAAUAAAAGCCUUCCCUUUACCUAUAACUACCUUAAUUAAUGAAGUUCAUACUAGCACUUCUGUUAAAUACUCUAACUGAGAACUCUGUAACUCUGACAGGCCAGAUAUCUUUAAUAAUGCCCUCUUUUCAAUAAAAAGCCGAACUGAAGCUAAAGUACACAAGGGCAGAAAUCUGGCCUCAGCCUUGGAAGAGGCUGGGAUAACUCCAACCUAAAGGUGCAUGGAUAUUGGCAUUCUACGUGGGACAGUGUAGAGAAUGCAUCACAAGCAGCAGACAUGUCACUGGCUCUCAGUACUGCCAUGAAGAAUCAUGAUACUGCCAUGUUGAAAAUGUCAGGGAGCCUGUGUUCUCACUUUGUGACAGCCAAACGCUGAUUCUACUAAAUUUUUUCAGUGUAAGUAAAUUGCCAGGAGUACAAGGGUUCAACAUAAGACAUGGGUGUACUUCUCUGCCUCAUAUGUUGAUGAACUUGUAGUCCUCUACAUGGGUCAGUAUUUCCAUAGCAGAGAUGCCUGGGUAUCUUGGAGAAUCUCAUGUCUUUUUCAUCUUUUCUUAUUCACUACAAAAUAUACUGAGCUUUUGAAAAUUUGACAUUUAGCACCUGCUGAACAUAGGUGUUAAAUGACUCCAUCAAAACAGUAGUGAAAAACUAAAGUUCCUGAAGCAUGAUAAAGUGCAUGUAGGAGACAGUUUUAAUUCACAUCAUCUGCUCAUUGACUUUGGCUGAACUGAACUUCACAAGGAAAGAAACGGGUUGGAAAGAAGAAAAGGAAAAAGAAAGAAAAGAGGUACUAUUACAGAAAAUGCCCAGUAAAACUUUCUUUCUUAUCACAUCUCUCAAAGCUGUUAAGGAAAAUGGUCAUUACUCAUCACUUACUGAGUUUCCAGCCUGCAAAAGAAUGAUAUUCUCAAGGUGAAGACUUAAGAAGCUAGUAUUUAAAGGGAGAUUAUAAACAUGAGGGAAAUCAACUUUUUGCAUGGGUAGAUAGCAAUAGGACAAGUGGGAAUGUUUUCAAUCUAAUGGAAGGGAUAUUUAGAUUAGAUUAGAUGUCAGGGGGAAGUUUUUUACCGAGAGUGGUGAGGUGCUGGAACAGGUUGCCCAGAGAGGUUGUGGAUGCCACCCAUUCUUGGAGCUGUUUAAGGCAAGGUUGGAUGGGGUCCUGGGCAAUCUGAUCUAGAACUUGAUCGAGCAGCUGGCAGCCCUGCCUGUGGCAUGGAGUUGUAACCCAAUGAUCUUUAAGGUCCCUUCCAACCCAAGCCAUUCUGAUUCUGUGACAUGGAAGUUCUACUGUAAGGUCCCAGUUUCCUUUUGUAAUUUGGGCAAAUCAUUAGAUUGAGGUUCUUAAUGAUCUGAGGUGAGUCAACUUCCUACAGGCAGCUGGCCUCAUAGCUUAAUCCUCCAGAAUAAAGUUAAUACACAAUCUCAUCUGUAUUUGCUAUAGACUCUCCAAGACAGGAUUGUAACCUAGAGCCUCAAAUAUGUCUAUGCAGGCUUCUAGCCAGCAGUGACCCACUUAACCUUCAGGUACGUUGCCACACAGCCUACAAAAUAUUCUUUUCUGAGGAAAGAUCCCCUGGACAUCAGUGGAUGGCAAGUUUUUUCAAUAAUACACGAUCUCUAUGGUUUUGGCUUGCACACAGAUCACAUUUUUGAUGCAUGUCACAAAAGCUAAUCUCACUGGAGAUACUGGAGCUCUUAAUAGGGCAGUAUAUUUCUUUAUUUCUUUAAGUGACCAGGGCUGGGGUGAUAGGUAUUAACCCAUCAAUAUCUGGGAAGUAUAAGACUUUUUUAAUUCACAAUCUGAUUUUCCAUUCCAUUGUGCUUCUUUUAUGCUGGUCACCAUCCCCACAUGUUUCUCUGUUUAAUGUAAAAUAAUUAAAUUUUUGCCAUAAACAGUUUCAAACCUUCAUUCAUCAGUGUCUUAAAUGUCCCCAGUUAAUAGACAAAUGCCUUACAGAACUAGAUUCAAAACAGACAGAAAUGGCUCCUAAGAUUA
RNAcentral lists this long non-coding RNA (2549 nucleotides) under Gallus gallus (chicken). Its description in RNAcentral is "lncRNA (ENSGALG00010001960.1)". The record is from RNAcentral. Lineage: Eukaryota; Metazoa; Chordata; Aves; Galliformes; Phasianidae.